This 1589-nucleotide unclassified non-coding RNA is filed under the name uncultured fungus. RNAcentral describes it as "sequence contains 18S rRNA gene, ITS1, 5.8S rRNA gene, ITS2, 28S rRNA gene". The stretch from base 652 to 1589 matches the Rfam family "Eukaryotic large subunit ribosomal RNA", at positions 1 to 961 of the family's 3401-position model. Lineage: Eukaryota; Fungi. The record is from RNAcentral.
GGAAGGAUCAUUGAAUCGAUCGAAUCCACUUUGGUAACCAACCGUCCCCUCGCCCUGGUGCGAGCGUCGGUCCCCUGGCUGGGGUCUUCUGACCGCAGUUCAGGUCCGGCGGGCUUUGCUCCCUCGGGUGUCCCUUCGGGGCCCCAUGGGUUGCAGAGUCGGUAAUUUAUAUUCAACUCAACCCACCCCAAACCUAAAUCAUAACUAAAGCUAAUUAGUGUGUGCAUCUCGGUGCCUCACUCUAACCAAAGACAACUCUCAACAACGGAUAUCUUGGCUCCCGUAUCGAUGAAGAACGCAGCGAAAUGCGAUACGUAGUGUGAAUUGCAGAAUUCCGUGAACCAUCGAAUCUUUGAACGCAAAUUGCGCCCGAGGCUUCGGCCGAGGGCAUGUCUGCCUCAGCGUCGGCUUACACCCUCGCUCUCCCUCUCCUUUGGAUUGGAUAGAGCGGAUCUGGCCUUCCCGGCUCCUCUUCGAUUCGUCGUUGAGUCCGGGUCGGUUGAAGUGUAGAGGCUUGAGCAUGGACCCCGUUUGUAGGGCAAUGACUUGGUAGGUAGCAUCGCUACACAGCCUGUCGUUGUCCGAGGGGACUUUGCUGGCGGCCUAGCAGGAAUUCGGGGUGGUUCUGCCACCCUGAAUGUCUCACAAAUUCGACCUGAGCUCAGGCAAGACUACCCGCUGAACUUAAGCAUAUCAAUAAGCGGAGGAAAAGAAACUAACUAGGAUGCCCUUAGUAACGGCGAGCGAACCGGGCAAAGCCCAACUUGAAAAUCUCCAGCCUCCGGCUGGCGAAUUGUAGUCUAUAGAAGUGCUUUCUGCCUCAGUCCGGCCCCAAGUCCCCUGGAAAGGGGCGUCAGAGAGGGUGAGAACCCCGUUGGGACCGGAUCCUGAGGCUCCACGAAACGCUUUCGAAGAGUCGGGUUGCUUGGGAAUGCAGCCCAAAGAAGGUGGUAAAUCCCAUCUAAGGCUAAAUACAGACGGGAGACCGAUAGCGAACAAGUACCGUGAGGGAAAGAUGAAAAGAACUUUGAAAAGAGAGUUAAAAAGUGCUUGAAAUUGUUGAGAGGGAAGUGAUUAGAUCGUACGGGUGCGCCCAGGCACACGCCUGCCUAACGGUUGGCUGAAUGCGCUGGGUGCUGGUCAGCAUGGGUUGACCGGGCGGGACAAACCCGGGGAUUGUUACCCCGGCUAUGUCGCCUGGUCGAUCGAGGAAAGAAUGGCGCUCUCUGAGUCCUUCGGGAACUGCGUCAUCAAGAUGCUGGCGGAAACGUUCUAAUCAGCCCGUCUUGAAACACGGACCAAGGAGUCUAACAUGCAUGCGAGCUGGUGGGUGGCAAACCCAUGAAGCGUAAGUAACCUGACUGGUGGGAGGGCCUGUGCCUGCACCAUCGACCGACCAUGAUCUUCUGUGAAAGGUUCGAGUACGAGCAUGCCUGUUGGGACCCGAAAGAUGGUGAACUAUGCCUGAGCAGGGCGAAGCCAGAGGAAACUCUGGUGGAGGCUCGUAGAUGUGCUGACGUGCAAAUCGCUUUUCGGACUUGGGUAUAGGGGCGAAAGACUAAUCGAACCAUCUAGUAGCUGGUUCCCUC